RNAcentral lists this long non-coding RNA (2738 nucleotides) under Piliocolobus tephrosceles (Ugandan red Colobus). RNAcentral describes it as "lncRNA (ENSPTEG00000014130.1)". The record is from RNAcentral. Lineage: Eukaryota; Metazoa; Chordata; Mammalia; Primates; Cercopithecidae.
GUAGUAAGUUAAAAAAAAAAAGAAAAAAAAAAAAACUGGAUGAUGAACUGAUAGAAAUAAUAAUUUAUAACAUUUUAUCUCUAACUAUUGUUAAUAGCGAAUUAAAUAAAAAGUAUUUGAAAAAUAAAAUAAUAGAUAAAAUAAUUAUUAAAAAUAUUAAUUAUAUUUUAAACAACAUUUUUAUAUUAUCAUUUCAUAAUAUCCAAAAAAUAUUAUUCAUAAUUGAUCUUAUAUUAAAUAAUGAAGGAGUAUAUUAUAAUUUUAAUCAAAUAAAAAAACAGACGAAUUUUGAAAGUACUUUCACCAAUGGCAAUGAUAAUGUUAUUCCAAAUAAUUUUAGUACAACAGGUAUAAAAAAUAGUAGUAAUAAUAAUAAUAAUAAUAAUAAUAAUAAUCAUAAUAACAGUCAUAAUAUUAGUUAUAAAUAUAGCUAUCAAAAUGGUUAUAAACAAAAUGAUAACUCUAUUAUUAAAACAGAACAGAGUAAAACAUGGAAACCACUUACAAAAAAAAAAAAAGAAACAUGCAAACAACAUAUGGACAAAACAAGUGGACAAUGUAUAAACGAAACCGUUAGCAAAAACUUUACUGAUGUAUACAGUAUUAAUAAUCAUAUUAACGAUAUUUUUAUUUAUAUAGAAAAAAGAGAUAUUUAUUUGAGUAUUUUUCAUUUUAAUUAUAUAUUUACUAAUGAUGGUGAUAGUUAUGAAAAGUGUUUUCUCGAAAAAUAUGAAUUUUAUUCAUAUUUUCAUCUUUUUUUAUGUAAUAUUAUGAAGCUAUAUAAAAGUACAAAUAUGGCUCAAGAUGUGCUAUACAUUAAAAAAAAAAAAUAUAUAAAUUUAUAUGAAUCAGUAAUAAAAUAUAAUGAAGAAAAUAAUAAGUUGAUACAGGAAAAAGAUAGAGAAGCAAUGUUUACUUCGUUAGAGAACAAUAAUACAAGUUCGUCUUCGUCACAUGACAAUGAUAAUGACAAUGAUACGACUUCAUUAAAAAGUGAAAAUAUGUUUACGGAUACUAUCAUAAAAACGGAUGUAGUCGCAAGUAUAGACACGCGGACAAAUACAGACACGCGAGCAAGUAUAGAUACAGAUACCAACGCAAACGAAAAUACGAACAUAAAUUACAAAAAUCAACCUGUACUAAAUGGACAUGAACCAAACCAAAUGACAACGAACUUCCCCAAAAAAGCUGUAUAUAUAGAAAAGAACAAAGUAAAAAAAGAAUCCUUAAUAAAACAAAGUAAUAUAGAGGAAUAUAUAGAAUAUAAUAUACUAAAUAAAAAAAAGAUAAAACGAUUAUAUAAAUAUAAAAAAAAGCAAAAAUUAUUAAUAAUUAGUAAAACGUUUAAUAAUAAGGAAACAUCAUAUAUACCUAUAAAAUUUUUUCCAAAUUGUAGUAGUAGUAGUAAUAAUAAUAAUAACAACAAUAAUAGCAAUAUACGCACACAUAAUAAUCUUAAAUUCCAAACAUUAUCAACAAGUAUACUCACAAAAGUCCAUUUAUUAUUACUUUACACCAAUAUUGUAUUAUUUUUUAAUUUAUUUAAUUCGGUUUUAUAUUUGUGGGUAUAUAAAUUCAUAGCACUUCUUAUCAAUAUAUUAAAUAAUUUUAAUAACAAAUUUUAUUUUUAUUUAGAUAAUUCAAAUGUGUUAUCAUAUUUUAAUAAUGAAAAUGUAUAUACUAUUAAUAAACGUACUUUUUAUAAUCCAUAUAAAACAUAUGUCAAUAAAUUACAAACUAAAAAAUCUUAUACUUUAAAAGCCUUAUUACAAAAAAAAUCAAAAACGGAUUAUAAUAUAAAAAUGGAUUCUUCUUAUUCUAAUUAUGGUUGCAUUGAAAUUUAUGAUAAAAGUAAAAAAGGAGAUAAAAGUAAAUUAUUUUUUCAUCAUUUUGUUUCAGUACAAAUUCUUAGGUACUAUACCAUUUUGUCUCUUCUCGAAAUAGAAAAUGCUCACAAAGGUAUUUUGUCUUGCCUAUUAGGAGACGUGUACAACAAAACAAUCAGUAGUAUCUGUCAGUUUCAUCGAAAAGAAGAUCAUUAUGACAUUUUUUUUCAAAAUAAAAAUACAUGGUUUGAUUCAAAUGGUAUGUAUAUGGAAAAUAAAAACAUAGACUUGUACAUUUUAAUUUGUGAUAUAAAAAGAAAACAAUGUAACAACAGUAAAGAUAUAGUUUUGUAUUCAUUGUCGUAUUUGUAUUUGUUUAUAUUAUUUAAUUAUGUUAACAUUUUAAUGCAUUUUUCGCUAAUGGAUAAAAUAUUCAUAAAAAAUGACAUCGUCCGUUCUGCUAAUAAUAUAUAUAGUAGUGACAAAAGUUUACCACUUGUGUAUAAUGGUUAUAACGUGGGUGGUAAUAAUAUCAGUGGCUGCAUAGAAAGUGUUAGCCUAAAGAGUAGUAUAAGUAACACGGACAAAGGCGAAGGUACGAAAAAAGACACUAUUAACGAAGAGAAUAUAAUUACAAAAAAAAGUAACAAGAUAACAAAAUUAAUAAAAAAAAUUAAUAUAUUUAUCAAACAUAAUAAUAUAAGAUUAGAGCUCUUAGAAUUUCGUAAAUGUUCACACAUAUUAGAGCUAAUUAAAAAAAAAUUAUUAUUUUAAUGGUAGUUUAAUUACGUUACCAUUUUAUGUAAACCUAAAUAUAUUUUAUUUGUUAUAUCAAUGUAAUAAUAUACAAAACGGAGUUAGUGGUAGUUCAAACGGUUGUUUUAAUAAAAACAAUCAUACAAAUAUGUUCCA